RNAcentral lists this ribosomal RNA (2900 nucleotides) under Clostridioides difficile. RNAcentral's name for it is "bacterial LSU rRNA". It matches the Rfam family "Bacterial large subunit ribosomal RNA". Lineage: Bacteria; Bacillati; Bacillota; Clostridia; Peptostreptococcales; Peptostreptococcaceae. The record is from RNAcentral.
UGGUCAAGUUAUUAAGGGUGCAGGGCGGAUGCCUUGGCACUAGGAGCCGAUGAAGGACGUGAUAAGCUGCGAUAAGCUUCGGGGAGUUGCACGUAAACUUUGAUCCGAAGAUUUCCGAAUGAGGAAACUCACUUAGAGUAAUGUCUAAGUAUCAUUAAGUGAAUACAUAGCUUAAUGAGGGGAACUCAGGGAACUGAAACAUCUAAGUACCUGAAGGAAGAGAAAGAAAUUCGAUUCCGUAAGUAGCGGCGAGCGAACGCGGAUUAGCCCAAACCAAUAAAGUUUUCUUUAUUGGGGUUGCGGACAUAUCAUAACGAAGAGGUAUCGUAAUUGAAGAGGUUUGGAAAGACCCACCACAGAAGGUAAUAGUCCUGUAUGUUAAACGAGAAGACUUUAGAUAUGAUCCAGAGUACCACGGGACACGUGAAACCCUGUGGGAAGCAGGAGGGACCACCCUCCAAGGCUAAAUACUACCUAGUGACCGAUAGCGUAUAGUACCGUGAGGGAAAGGUGAAAAGAACCCCGGGAGGGGAGUGAAAUAGAACCUGAAACCCUGCACUUACAAGCUGUGGAAGCACAUUUCUUGUGUGACCGCGUACUUUUUGUAGAACGGGCCAACGAGUUACGUUAAGUAGCAAGGUUAAGCACUUAAGGUGCGGAGCCGUAGCGAAAGCGAGUUUUAACUGAGCGUUCAGUUACUUGACGUAGACCCGAAACCGGGCGACCUACCCAUGAGCAGGAUGAAGCGAAAGUAAAAUUUCGUGGAGGUCCGAACCCACGAGCGUUGAAAAGCUCGGGGAUGACUUGUGGGUAGCGGUGAAAUUCCAAUCGAGCCCGGAGAUAGCUGGUUCUCCCCGAAAUAGCUUUAGGGCUAGCCUCAAGGUGAGAGAUACGGAGGUAGAGCACUGAAUGUCCUAGGGGGUAUUGCACCUACCGAAGACUAUCAAACUCCGAAUGCCGUCAUCUUAUACUUGGGAGUCAGACUGUGGGUGAUAAGAUUCAUAGUCGAAAGGGCAACAGCCCAGAUCGUCAGCUAAGGUCCCUAAAUGUAAGUUAAGUGGUAAAGGAUGUGGGAUUGCACAGACAACCAGGAUGUUGGCUUAGAAGCAGCCACUCAUUCAAAGAGUGCGUAAUAGCUCACUGGUCGAGUGAUCCUGCGCCGAAGAUUUCCGGGGCUAAAACUUACUACCGAAGCUACGGCAUCAGUAAUGAUGGGUAGGGGAGCUUCCCAUACGGGUUGAAGCAUGACCGUAAGGACAUGUGGACAGUAUGGGAGUGAGAAUGUUGGCAUGAGUAGCGAGAUGUGGGUGAGAAUCCCACAGGCCGUAAACCCAAGGUUUCCAGGGGAAGGUUCGUCCGCCCUGGGUUAGUCGGGACCUAAGCUGAGGCCGAAAGGCGUAGGUGAUGGACAACAGGUUGAUAUUCCUGUACUACCGAUAACCGUUUGAGAGAAGGGAUGACACAGUAGGAUAAGCUAAGCACACUGUUGGUUAUGUGUGCCCAAGCAUUGAGGCAGUCAAAGUAGGCAAAUCCGCUUUGAUAAUGCUGGGAUGUGAUGGGGAGCGAAAUUUAGUAGCGAAGUAGCUGAUUUCACACUGUCAAGAAAAGUCUCUAUCGAGGUUAAAGGUACCCGUACCGCAAACCGACACAGGUGGGUGAGGAGAGUAUCCUAAGGCCAGCGAGAGAACUGUUGUUAAGGAACUCGGCAAAAUGACCCCGUAACUUAGGGAUAAGGGGUGCCACCAUCAGGUGGCCGCAGAGAAUAGGCCCAAGCGACUGUUUACCAAAAACAUAGGUUUCUGCUAAGUCGCAAGACGAUGUAUAGGAGCUGACGCCUGCCCGGUGCUGGAAGGUUAAGGGGAUCUGUUAGAGCAAUCGAAGCAGUGAACUUAAGCCCCAGUAAACGGCGGCCGUAACUAUAACGGUCCUAAGGUAGCGAAAUUCCUUGUCGGGUAAGUUCCGACCCGCACGAAAGGCGUAACGAUUUGGGCACUGUCUCAACAACAGACUCGGUGAAAUUGUAAUUCCGGUGAAGAUGCCGGAUACCUGCGACAGGACGGAAAGACCCCAUGGAGCUUUACUGUAGCUUGACAUUGGGUCUUGGUACUACAUGUACAGGAUAGGUGGGAGGCUUUGAAACCAGGACGCCAGUUUUGGCGGAGCCAUCCUUGGGAUACCACCCUUGUAGUACUGGGACUCUAACCAUAGGCCAUGAAUCUGGUCUUGGGACACUGUCAGGUGGGCAGUUUGACUGGGGCGGUCGCCUCCCAAAAGGUAACGGAGGCGCUCAAAGGUUCUCUCAGUACGGUCGGAAAUCGUACGUAGAGUGUAAAGGCAAAAGAGAGCUUGAUUGCAAGACAUACAGGUCGAGCAAGGAUGAAAAUCGGACUUAGUGAUCCGGUGGUUCUGCGUGGAAGGGCCAUCGCUCAACGGAUAAAAGCUACCCUGGGGAUAACAGGCUUAUCUCCCCCAAGAGUCCACAUCGACGGGGAGGUUUGGCACCUCGAUGUCGGCUCAUCACAUCCUGGGGCUGUAGUAGGUCCCAAGGGUUGGGCUGUUCGCCCAUUAAAGUGGUACGCGAGCUGGGUUCAGAACGUCGUGAGACAGUUCGGUCCCUAUCCGUCGCAGGCGUAGGAAAUUUGAGAAGACCUGUCCUUAGUACGAGAGGACCGGGAUGGACGUACCUCUGGUGUACCAGUUGUCCUGCCAAGGGCAUGGCUGGGUAGCUAUGUGCGGAAUGGAUAAGCGCUGAAAGCAUCUAAGCGCGAAGCCAACUUCAAGAUAAGAUUUCCCACCGCAAGGGUAAGACCCCAGAAAGACUAUCUGGUUGAUAGGUCGAAGGUGUAAGUGCAGCAAUGUAUUUAGCUUAUCGAUACUAAUAGGUCGAGGACUUGACCAAU